AUUGAACGCUGGCGGCAGGCCUAACACAUGCAAGUCGAACGAGUCGAGGACGGGUGAGUAAUGUCUGGGAAACUGCCUGAUGGAGGGGGAUAACUACUGGAAACGGUAGCUAAUACCGCAUACCAUCAGAUGUGCCCAGAUGGGAUUAGCUGGUUGGUGGGGUAACGGCGCACCAAGGCGACGAUCCCUAGCUGGUCUGAGAGGAUGACCAGCCACACGGGAACUAAGAUACGGUCAAGACUCCUACGGGAGGCAGCGUUGGGGAAUAUUGCAAAAUGGGCGCAAGCCUGAUGCAGCCAUGCCGCGUGUAUGAGGAGGGCCUUCGGGUUGUAAAGUACUUUCAGCGGGGAGGCGUUACCCGCAGAAGAAGCACCGGCUAACUCCGUGCCAGCCGCCGCGGUAAUAC
This 406-nucleotide ribosomal RNA is filed under the name uncultured bacterium. RNAcentral describes it as "partial 16S ribosomal RNA". It matches the Rfam family "Bacterial small subunit ribosomal RNA", at positions 30 to 526 of the family's 1533-position model. The record is from RNAcentral.